ACGAACGCUGGCGGCGUGCUUAACACCUGCAAGUCGAACGGAAAGGCCCUGCUUUUGUGGGGUGCUCGAGUGGCGAACGGGUGAGUAACACGUGAGUAACCUGCCCUUGACUUUGGGAUAACUUCAGGAAACUGGGGCUAAUACCGGAUAGGAGCUCCUGCUGCAUGGUGGGGGUUGGAAAGUUUCGGCGGUUGGGGAUGGACUCGCGGCUUAUCAGCUUGUUGGUGGGGUAGUGGCUUACCAAGGCUUUGACGGGUAGCCGGCCUGAGAGGGUGACCGGCCACAUUGGGACUGAGAUACGGCCCAGACUCCUACGGGAGGCAGCAGUGGGGAAUAUUGCACAAUGGGCGGAAGCCUGAUGCAGCAACGCCGCGUGCGGGAUGACGGCCUUCGGGUUGUAAACCGCUUUCGCCUGUGACGAAGUGUGAGUGACGGUAAUGGGUAAAGAAGCACCGGCUAACUACGUG
Molecule: ribosomal RNA, 467 nt
Filed under: uncultured bacterium
Lineage: Bacteria
Description: partial 16S ribosomal RNA
Rfam family: Bacterial small subunit ribosomal RNA
Source: RNAcentral